Molecule: long non-coding RNA, 2061 nt
Filed under: Volvox carteri
Lineage: Eukaryota; Viridiplantae; Chlorophyta; Chlorophyceae; Chlamydomonadales; Volvocaceae
Description: long non-coding RNA (VCAR_LNC003374)
Source: RNAcentral
CGGCUCCGAGGUGACGCCCUUCUCCGUGGUCACGGAUGAGCGACUGGGAGCCAAGUACCCUCUGGCCGGUGAGGAGAAGAGACCUGCGAGGCCGUGGGAGGGCCGGUUUUGGGUGGUUUGGGCGCUUUUUUAAAGGGGGGAAUUUAUUGUAAGUGAUAAUGGAAAGAAAUGACCAAAGUUUGAAGAAGAAUUUAUAUAAUGAAUUGUUCUUUUUAAUCUUUAUAAUCUGUUUUCGCGUUCCAGGAUGGGCGUGGAAACCUUCUUCCGCUAAGCUCUAUCGAAGUUCAGCACUCUCGAGAUUUGCUUGACACGGCUUUCUCUGGUCGUAUGCAUCCCACCUAUGGCCGUUGCAUACAUAUACGAUCGACACCUGUCAGGGUCGACAAUCCUUCCGAUCGUGGAAGCUAUUCGUGCCCCCCUAGUCGAUAGACGGUGGUGACCUGGGAUAAAGUUGACCUGCGAGCUGACCAGGAAUGGAGUUGAGCCGCCGUUGAUCCGGCAGAUUCCGUUGGAUGCCGGUGGUGGGUGCUGAACCUAAGCGAUACACUGAGAAGUUGGCGGCUAGGGUGACUAGAUGAGGGUGCCCCGAAAUACCGGGGAAGGCAGGGUUUCGCAGGGUAGCGGCCACAGGGUGAAGGUAUGGCCCCCUGUCCCACACCAUAUACGUACAUACAAAUUUUCCUUUCUGCCUGCUCUGCUCGGCCGUGAUCCCUCCCUUUCCAGAUUACGCUUUGACGCCCAAUAUGGCGAUCGUGGACCCUCAGCUGGUUCUCAACAUCCCCAAGAAGCUCACCGCCUGGGGCGGCGUUGACGCGCUCACCCACGCCUUGGAGAGCUACGUGUCCAUCUGCGCGACAGGUGGGUGACGGUGAGGGUUGUGGGUUGUGGGUGUCUUUGAUGGUGAUGAUGGUCACCGGCCGGUGUGUGUUCAGGAAUGUGCAGAGCAUGUGCUCCGCCCCCGGGUCUCCGUCUGCCGUUGGUGUUCGGUAUUGUUGUGUGAGUUUGGCAUGCGUCAUGUUUCGGAUGAUGGCCCUACAGCUGGCCAACCACCAUUCCUUGGGUUCUUUGCCCCAUACACAUACAGAGUACACUCGCGGCCUGUCCCGCGAGGCCAUCUCGCUGCUGUUCAAGUACCUGCCGCGGGCCUAUGCCAACGGUGCGAACGACUACGAGGCGCGUGAGAAGGUGCACUACGCGGCCACCAUCGCCGGCAUGGCCUUCGCAAACGCGUUCCUGGGCAUUUGCCACUCCAUGGCGCACAAACUGGGUGAGCCUCAGCUGCUAAGGAUUACACUUCUGCUUUUCCUUUGUUGUGUCGUGUCAUAGUCUGCGUGACAUAGAACCAGCGGUGCCGUCGUUGUGCAUAAGUGUUUUGCUUGGGGGGGGAAGGGCCCGUAGUACAGGAAGCCAUGUUGAAUGCCGGCUUCGGUCCACGCGGUCAUUCGCUGCCUAACCCUGCUGUCUCAUUAUCUUGCUGCUGCAGGCGCCGCCUUCCACGUGCCUCACGGUCUUGCCAACGCGGCCCUCAUCAGCCACGUGAUUCGCUACAACGCCACCGACAUGCCCGCCAAGCAGGCGGCCUUCCCGCAGUACCAGUACCCCAACGCCAAGCACCAUUACGCGGAGCUGGCGACCAUGCUUAACCUAGGUGGCGAGACGGACGACGAGAAGGUAUGGCCGUUCGGCAGAAUCAGGAUCAUUUCGAUGGCCAAUUGUAACCACCCUUGGUUUGUUCAUGGACCUAACAGCUGAUCCGUCUUUGCACAUUGUAAUUAUUAUUUCAAGAGCCGUGCCGGCUUAAUUUUGCUGAGAAUGGACGAUUUUUAGUUUUUGGUGUGCAUGCUUGAAAGCAUGUGGAGGCACAUACAAUACAACUCGGUUUAUUUUGCCGAUUGGCCCAACUGAUUGCUACACCUUGCACAAGCUCCAGCGCUGAUCAUUUCUUACCACAAAUCUCCAAUAAAAGUGUUGCAAAAUAACGCAGCCGCGUCCAUGCAUGAACGAUUAACCUUGAUCUUGAGUUGUAAAUCUUCAUUUUUCCCCUAUGGUAUUUAAUCCAGG